UGGGGAAUAUUGCGCAAUGGGGGAACCGUGCACGCAGCAACGCCGCGUGAAGGAAGACGGUUUUCGGAUUGUAAACUUCAGCAAGCAGGGAAGAAAGAAAUGACGGUACCUGAACAAAAGCCACGGCUAACUACGUGCCAGCAGCCGCGGUAAUACGUAGGUGGCAAGCGUUGUCCGGAUUUACUGGGUGUAAAGGGCGCGUAGGCGGGCGAGUAAGUCAGACGUGAAAUACCGGGGCUCAACCCCGGGGCUGCGUUUGAAACUGCUUGUCUUGAGUGCCGGAGAGGAAAGCGGAAUUCCUAGUGUAGCGGUGAAAUGCGUAGAUAUUAGGAGGAACACCAGUGGCGAAGGCGGCUUUCUGGACGGUAACUGACGCUGAGGCGCGAAAGCGUGGGGAGCAAACAGGAUUAGAUACCC
RNAcentral lists this ribosomal RNA (417 nucleotides) under uncultured bacterium. RNAcentral's name for it is "bacterial SSU rRNA". It matches the Rfam family "Bacterial small subunit ribosomal RNA", at positions 355 to 787 of the family's 1533-position model. The record is from RNAcentral.